UGGGGAAUAUUGCACAAUGGGGGAAACCCUGAUGCAGCGACGCCGCGUGAGCGAUGAAGUAUUUCGGUAUGUAAAGCUCUAUCAGCAGGGAAGAUAAUGACGGUACCUGACUAAGAAGCACCGGCUAAAUACGUGCCAGCAGCCGCGGUAAUACGUAUGGUGCAAGCGUUAUCCGGAUUUACUGGGUGUAAAGGGAGCGUAGACGGAUGGGCAAGUCUGAUGUGAAAACCCGGGGCUCAACCCCGGGACUGCAUUGGAAACUGUUCAUCUAGAGUGCUGGAGAGGUAAGUGGAAUUCCUAGUGUAGCGGUGAAAUGCGUAGAUAUUAGGAGGAACACCAGUGGCGAAGGCGGCUUACUGGACAGUAACUGACGUUGAGGCUCGAAAGCGUGGGGAGCAAACAG
Molecule: ribosomal RNA, 403 nt
Filed under: uncultured bacterium
Lineage: Bacteria
Description: bacterial SSU rRNA
Rfam family: Bacterial small subunit ribosomal RNA
Source: RNAcentral